Molecule: ribosomal RNA, 771 nt
Filed under: Singerocybe phaeophthalma
Lineage: Eukaryota; Fungi; Basidiomycota; Agaricomycetes; Agaricales; Clitocybaceae
Description: eukaryotic LSU rRNA
Rfam family: Eukaryotic large subunit ribosomal RNA
Source: RNAcentral
AAAUCUGGCAGUCUUUUGAUUGUCCGAGUUGUAAUCUAGAGAAGUGUUACCCGCGCUGGACCGUGUAUAAGUCUCCUGGAAUGGAGCGUCAUAGAGGGUGAGAAUCCCGUCUUUGACACGGACUACCAGGGCUUUGUGGUAUGCUCUCAAAGAGUCGAGUUGUUUGGGAAUGCAGCUCUAAAUGGGUGGUAAAUACCAUCUAAAGCUAAAUAUUGGCGAGAGACCGAUAGCGAACAAGUACCGUGAGGGAAAGAUGAAAAGAACUUUGGAAAGAGAGUUAAACAGUACGUGAAAUUGUUGAAAGGGAAACGCUUGAGAUCAGUCAUGUUGGCUGGGGAUCAACCUUGCUCUUGCUUGGUGUACUUCCUAGUUGAACAGGUCAGCAUCAAUUUUGAUUGGUGGAUAAAGGUUAGAGGAAUGUGGCAUCUCGGGUGUGUUAUAGCCUUUAUCGCAUACAUCAGUAGGAUGAGGAACUCAGCACGCCACUAGCCGGUCUUUGACCACGUUACGUGCUCAGGAUGCUGGCAAAAUGGCUUUAUCGACCCCGUCUUGAAACACGGACCAAGGGAGUCUCACAUGCCUGUCGAGUGUUUGGGUGGAAAACCCGAGCGCGUUAUCGCAAAGUGAAAGUUGAGAUCCCUGUCGCGGGGAGCAUCGACGCCCAGACCAGACCUUUUGUGACGGAUCUGCGGUAGAGCAUGUAUGUUGGGACCCGAAAGAUGGUGAACUAUGCCUGAAUAGGGUGAAGCCAGAGGAAACUCUGGUGGAGGC